Long non-coding RNA from Coccinella septempunctata (seven-spotted ladybird), 524 nucleotides. RefSeq lists it as uncharacterized. Lineage: Eukaryota; Metazoa; Arthropoda; Insecta; Coleoptera; Coccinellidae. The record is from RefSeq and is a predicted model, not a curated record. The transcript has 4 exons.
UAUUUUUUAAUUUUCCUAAGAAAUAGCUUGAUUUUUCGAGAUUUAAAUAAUUACCAACGAAUAGAAAGUUUCAAAUUAAUUCGAAAUCAAAUGAAAAAUGAAUAAAUAAUUUCAAAUUGCUUUGUGAAGAACACUUAAAUGCAAAUCUGGUUACUUAUCAGUUUUUGAUUACAAUUUAAGUACAAGUUUUCUAAGCAUCAAAGAUGGAUCGAAGAGAAAAAAAUAACCAAAAUACAUAAAAAUUCUCGAAUAUAUUUUCAUGAAAUUCGGACAUAUUGCUACCACUUGGGAAAAUAACGCUAGUUAUUUGAGGUCGAUAUGAACCAAGGAUAAAAUCGGUUCAACACAGUCGCACAUCCAUUUAUUCAGAGUGAGCGUCCCACAACCUUGGUGUGUUCUCAUCUUCAAAAUCCAUUGAUGGUAGUUUCGCAGACUCAUUAAGAACUCAGACCUAAGAAAACUCAACUCCAGCUAUAAUAGUUCUGCGCCACGCCUUUCCACCCUAAUUCGGCAUGCUUGUUAGG